CCUACGGGUGGCUGCAGUCGAGGAUCUUCGGCAAUGGGCGCAAGCCUGACCGAGCGACGCCGCGUGAGCGAUGAAGGCCUUCGGGUCGUAAAGCUCUGUCGAGGGGGAGAAAAGGGCAACCUUGAUCGACCCCUGGAGGAAGCACGGGCUAAGUUCGUGCCAGCAGCCGCGGUAAGACGAACCGUGCGAACGUUAUUCGGAAUCAUUGGGCUUAAAGGGCGCGUAGGCGGGCCGGAUAGUCAGGGGUGAAAGCCUCCAGCUCAACUGGAGAAGCGCCUCUGAUACUGUCGGCCUCGAGGGGUGCAGGGGCAUGCGGAACUCAGGGUGGAGCGGUGAAAUGCGUAGAUAUCCUGAGGAACACCGGUGGCGAAAGCGGCGUGCUGGACACCUUCUGACGCUGAGGCGCGAAAGCCAGGGGAGCGAACGGGAUUAGAUACCCUUGUAGUC
This 447-nucleotide ribosomal RNA is filed under the name uncultured bacterium. RNAcentral describes it as "partial 16S ribosomal RNA". It matches the Rfam family "Bacterial small subunit ribosomal RNA", at positions 338 to 795 of the family's 1533-position model. The record is from RNAcentral.